GACGAACGCUGGCGGCGUGCUUAACACAUGCAAGUCGAACGGAAAGGCCCUGCUUUUGUGGGGUGCUCGAGUGGCGAACGGGUGAGUAACACGUGAGUAACCUGCCCUUGACUUUGGGAUAACUUCAGGAAACUGGGGCUAAUACAGGACAGGAGCUCCUGCUGCAUGGUGGGGGUUGGAAAGUUUCGGCGGUUGGGGAUGGACUCGCGGCUUUUCAGCUUGUUGGUGGGGUAGUGGCUUACCAAGGCUUUGACGGGUAGCCGGCCUGAGAGGGUGACCGGCCACAUUGGGACUGAGAUGCGGCCCAGACGCCUACGGGAGGCAUCAGUGGGGAAUAUUGCACAAUGGGCGGAAGCCUGAUGCAGCAACGCCGCGUGCUGGAUGACGGCCUUCGGGUUGUAAACCGCUUUCGCCUGUGACGAAGCGUGAGUGACGGUAAUGGGUAAAGAAGCACCGGCUAACUACGUG
RNAcentral lists this ribosomal RNA (468 nucleotides) under uncultured bacterium. Its description in RNAcentral is "partial 16S ribosomal RNA". It matches the Rfam family "Bacterial small subunit ribosomal RNA", at positions 28 to 507 of the family's 1533-position model. The record is from RNAcentral.